Jatropha curcas is the source of this 1061-nucleotide non-coding RNA. The record is from RefSeq and is a predicted model, not a curated record. NCBI's taxonomy places the organism in Eukaryota, Viridiplantae, Streptophyta, Magnoliopsida, Malpighiales, Euphorbiaceae.
CUCAAGCUUCAUUUGGAACACCAAAAAGAAGAAGAAGAAAACUGGAAACCAAUUUCCCGUAACGGAAUUUCUCCAAGACAACUACCGUAAAGUAGAGGAAGCAGUGGUAGGUCCUGGAGGCGGUAUAGGAAUAGGAUGCGGCAUUGGGGCGGGUUUCGGUUUGGUUGGCGCAUUCGGUUACGGUGGCUGGCCGUGGAACCAUUUUAAGCUUGUAUUUGGAGUCGGAAUGGGCUGUGGAAUUGGACUCGGGUUUGGGUAUGGAGGUGGAGUUGGAUAUGGUGUUAGUUUAGAUUCUUUGAAUUCUCAAAUGUCAAAUGAUAGGAAGUCGGAUUCUAACAAGAAGGGAAUUUUAUUUGGCAUUUGAUUAUCCAAUCAGUGAGCAGCAACAGAUUCACUGCUAUUUCUGAUGUCAUUCCACAUUUUCGGUUGCCAAUUCCCAUAAAAAUGUGGAUUCAAUGGAAGCAUAUGAGGAUAACCUAGAGAACCAUCUUGGAAAUAGCUUGGUACUUGAAUAUCAAUUGGCAUUACAUCAAGAAUGUUAGAUUGUUGUUGCCCACUUGAAUAUCCAUGGCUUCUGUGGUCUUGAGCCUCAAGAAAAAAUGACCUUUCCAUAUGAUUCGUGUCUGUUUCUUUCAUCAUUUUGAUUCUGUCAUCUGCAGAUUUCAGUUUAGCAUCCAAUUCACAGAUGAGUUGUUUCAAUUCAUCCUCAGAGUAAUUAUUGAUGCGAUCAUUCCAUGGAGGAUACUUAGUCACAGAUAUUUGUUUCCGCAAAUCUGUAAGUUGAGCAUUAACCUUCUUCAGCUUGUUCUUGGAAUGGUCAGAGAUCUGACAGUGUCUUUUUUCCUGCACUUUCUGUUUGUAUUUCUUGAUUAUGUGCUUAACCUUAAGAGGAUCAGCAGGCCAGGUUUCUGGUUUCACUUGUUUGUUGUCACCUUGUUUUGGAUCGAAGAUGAUAAUGCACAAGUCAAUACCACAUAGAGUUGCUAAUUCAUAGCCUUUUUUGAACAAGCUUUUCUUUCUCUUUCGAAAUGAAAUCUUUAAAGCUCUCUCCUUCUUGAUCA